RNAcentral lists this ribosomal RNA (497 nucleotides) under uncultured bacterium. RNAcentral's name for it is "partial 16S ribosomal RNA". It matches the Rfam family "Bacterial small subunit ribosomal RNA", at positions 28 to 507 of the family's 1533-position model. The record is from RNAcentral.
GAUGAACGCUGGCGGCGUGCCUAAUACAUGCAAGUCGAGCGAACGGACGAGAAGCUUGCUUCUCUGAUGUUAGCGGCUGACGGGUGAGUAACACGUGGAUAACCUACCUAUAAGACUGGGAUAACUUCGGGAAACCGGAGCUAAUACCGGAUAAUAUUUUGAACCGCAUGGUUCAAAAGUGAAAGACGGUCUUGCUGUCACUUAUAGAUGGAUCCGCGCUGCAUUAGCUAGUUGGUAAGGUAACGGCUUACCAAGGCAACGAUGCAUAGCCGACCUGAGAGGGUGAUCGGCCACACUGGAACUGAGACACGGUCCCGACUCCUAAGGGAGGCAGCAGUAGGGAAUCUUCCGCAAUGGGCGGAAGCCUGACGGAGCAACGCCGCGUGAGUGAUGAAGGUCUUCGGAUCGUAAAACUCUGUUAUUAGGGAAGAACAUAUGUGUAAGUAACUGUGCACAUCUUGACGGUACCUAAUCAGAAAGCCACGGCUAACUACGUG